UUGGCCCGUGGUGUAACGGUAGCACAGGAGAUUUUGGUUCUCCUUGUCCUAGUUCGAAUCUAGGCGGGCCAAU
RNAcentral lists this transfer RNA (73 nucleotides) under Phycisphaerae bacterium. RNAcentral's name for it is "tRNA-Gln". It matches the Rfam family "tRNA". Rfam says of the family: Transfer RNA (tRNA) molecules are approximately 80 nucleotides in length. Lineage: Bacteria; Pseudomonadati; Planctomycetota; Phycisphaerae. The record is from RNAcentral.